RNAcentral lists this transfer RNA (76 nucleotides) under Candidatus Saccharimonadota bacterium. Its description in RNAcentral is "tRNA-Ala". It matches the Rfam family "tRNA". From Rfam's summary of the family: Transfer RNA (tRNA) molecules are approximately 80 nucleotides in length. Their secondary structure includes four short double-helical elements and three loops (D, anti-codon, and T loops). Further hydrogen bonds mediate the characteristic L-shaped molecular structure. tRNAs have two regions of fundamental functional importance: the anti-codon, which is responsible for specific mRNA codon recognition, and the 3' end, to which the tRNAs corresponding amino acid is attached (by aminoacyl-tRNA synthetases). tRNAs cope with the degeneracy of the genetic code in two manners: having more than one tRNA (with a specific anti-codon) for a particular amino acid; and 'wobble' base-pairing, i.e. permitting non-standard base-pairing at the 3rd anti-codon position. Lineage: Bacteria; Candidatus Saccharimonadota. The record is from RNAcentral.
GGGGUGUUAGCUCAGCUGGUAGAGCGUCUCAAUGGCAUUGAGAAGGUCAGGAGUUCGAUCCUCCUACACUCCACCA